Molecule: ribosomal RNA, 450 nt
Filed under: uncultured bacterium
Lineage: Bacteria
Description: partial 16S ribosomal RNA
Rfam family: Bacterial small subunit ribosomal RNA
Source: RNAcentral
GUGGGGAAUAUUCCGCAAUGGACGAAAGUCUGACGGAGCAACGCCGCGUGAGUGAUGAAGGUUUUCGGACUGUAAAGCUCUGUUGUUUAGGACGAAAGUGCCUGUUGCAAAUAGUUACAGGUAUUGACGGUACUGAACGAGGAAGCCACGGCUAACUACGUGCCAGCAGCCGCGGUAAUACGUAGGUGGCAAGCGUUGUCCGGAAUUAUUGGGCGUAAAGAGCAUGUAGGCGGGAAUCUAAGUCUGUUGUGAAAAUGCGGGGCUCAACCCCGUAUUGCGAUGGAAACUGGGUUGCUUGAGUGCAGGAGAGGAAAGGGGAAUUCCCAGUGUAGCGGUGAAAUGCGUAGAUAUUGGGAGGAACACCAGUGGCGAAGGCGCCUUUCUGGACUGUGUCUGACGCUGAGAUGCGAAAGCCAGGGUAGCGAACGGGAUUAGAUACCCCUGUAGUCC